This 579-nucleotide long non-coding RNA is filed under the name Equus caballus (horse). RNAcentral describes it as "lncRNA (ENSECAG00000043621.2)". The record is from RNAcentral. Lineage: Eukaryota; Metazoa; Chordata; Mammalia; Perissodactyla; Equidae.
UGGACCUCUCCCUGAACACCAGGCUUGUACAUACAACUGCCUACUCAACAUCUCCACCUGGGUGUCCAACAGUGUCAGCAUCUCACAGAGAAGUGUCUGCAGCACUUCAGGAAUAACAUGGCGAUGCUGCCCCUCCUCAGUGCACCUGCACCCGUGGACCUUGAAGGCCGAGCACAGAGGAGGGGAAUGGACUGUGGAGCCAGAGAGGUGUGGUUUUACCCCUGCUCUGCCUCUCACUUGCCUGUGACCUCAGACUUGUUGUUGAAGUGCUGCACGGCUCGGCUCAUCCAUCUGUCGUGUGCGGACGGUGACGCCAACCCCACAGGGUUUUUACACGGAGUGACUGUGGUAAUGCGUGAGAAAGGUCUGGUGCACAGCGGGUGCCUAAGAAUUGCAGGCGGACACAGUCAGCACUGUGCUGACAAAAGCUGGCUCUGCUCGGGCCCUUCACCUCAGGAAGGGCAGGCGGGAAGCGGGAACUCUCACCCAGCAGCCUCGCUCUGGGAAGGAGAAAUGGAAAAUGUUCUAAUUCCAAAGAGUAAAUGUCAGCGGCUUGGGAAGGAUUCUGAGGUUCUGAAA